UACGUAGGGAGCAAGCGUUGUCCGGAAUCAUUGGGCGUAAAGCGCGCGUAGGUGACUUCGUAAGUCCGUUGUGAAAGUCAAAGGCUCAACCUUUGAAAGCCGAUGGAUACUGUGGAGCUAGAGUACGGAAGAGGCGAGUGGAAUUCCUGGUGUAGCGGUGGAAUGCGCAGAUAUCAGGAGGAACACCGAUGGCGAAGGCAGGUCACUGGGCCGCAACUGACGCUGAGGAGCGAAAGCAUGGGGAGCGAACAGG
This 253-nucleotide ribosomal RNA is filed under the name uncultured bacterium. RNAcentral's name for it is "partial 16S ribosomal RNA". It matches the Rfam family "Bacterial small subunit ribosomal RNA", at positions 524 to 776 of the family's 1533-position model. The record is from RNAcentral.